AAGUCGUAACAAGGUUUCCGUAGGUGAACCUGCGGAAGGAUCAUUAAUGAAGCAUGUCGUGAAGGGCUGUUGCUGGCUCCUCCCAUCACAGGAAAGGGGCAUGUGCACGCCUGGAACGGCUCUCAUCCAUAUCUCAUUCCCUGUGCACACCUGUGGGCAAAGCGCUUUGGGGUCUUUUGGUCCCUUAUGCUUGCCCACCUCUUUUUUGUUCACUCUCAUUACAGUCACUUGGAAUGUCUGCUGUCGUCAGAAAUAAAACAACUUUCAGCAACGGAUCUCUUGGCUCUC
This 288-nucleotide unclassified non-coding RNA is filed under the name fungal sp. RNAcentral describes it as "partial internal transcribed spacer region". The stretch from base 1 to 46 matches the Rfam family "Eukaryotic small subunit ribosomal RNA", at positions 1786 to 1831 of the family's 1831-position model. Lineage: Eukaryota; Fungi. The record is from RNAcentral.